RNAcentral lists this long non-coding RNA (254 nucleotides) under Lotus japonicus. RNAcentral's name for it is "long non-coding RNA (LJAP_LNC000382)". Lineage: Eukaryota; Viridiplantae; Streptophyta; Magnoliopsida; Fabales; Fabaceae. The record is from RNAcentral.
CAUCUUUUCCUUGUAUAAUUUAGAAGAAUCAUAAGCUUGGAGCCUUAAUUCCUCCAUCUGAUGCAACUGGUUCUUCCUAUGCUCACCUGCAAGAUUCAAAUCAAAAUUAAGAAACUUAAGAGCCCAAUAAGCUUUAUGCUCCAAUUCUACUGGUAAAUGGCAAGAUUUGCCAUAGACCAACUGAAAGGGGGUUAGGCCUAUUGGUGACUUAUAAGCAGUCUUGUAUGCCCAUAAAGCAUCAUCCAGCUUCUAAG